RNAcentral lists this ribosomal RNA (436 nucleotides) under Triticum monococcum (einkorn wheat). RNAcentral describes it as "eukaryotic LSU rRNA". The stretch from base 287 to 436 matches the Rfam family "Eukaryotic large subunit ribosomal RNA", at positions 1 to 150 of the family's 3401-position model. Lineage: Eukaryota; Viridiplantae; Streptophyta; Magnoliopsida; Poales; Poaceae. The record is from RNAcentral.
CGAGGUCUUUUGGACGCAAGUUGCGCCCGAGGCCACUCGGCCGAGGGCACGCCUGCCUGGGCGUCACGCCAAAACACGCUCCCAACCCCCUCAUCGGGAAUCAGGAUGCGGCAUCUGGUCCCUCGUCUCGCAAGGGGCGGUGGACCGAAGAUCGGGCUGCCGGCGUACCGCGCCGGACACAGCGCAUGGUGGGCGUCCUCGCUUUAUCAACGCAGUGCAUCCGACGCGCAGCCGGCAUGACGGCCUCAAAAUGACCCAGCAAACGAAGCGCACGUCGCUUCGACCGCGACCCCAGGUCAGGCGGGACUACCCGCUGAGUUUAAGCAUAUAAAUAAGCGGAGGAGAAGAAACUUACAAGGAUUCCCCUAGUAACGGCGAGCGAACCGGGAGCAGCCCAGCUUGAGAAUCGGGCGGCCGUGCCGUCCGAAUUGUAGUG